This 708-nucleotide long non-coding RNA is filed under the name Ananas comosus (pineapple). RNAcentral describes it as "long non-coding RNA (ACOM_LNC014056)". The record is from RNAcentral. Lineage: Eukaryota; Viridiplantae; Streptophyta; Magnoliopsida; Poales; Bromeliaceae.
UCUUGUAAUAAUAAUAAUAUAAUAUAUCCAUAUUAAUGGCCUGUUUGAUUUUUCUAAAAUGUUAUGCUAUCAUUUUUUUUUUGGCUAAAUAUAGAAAAUUUUUCAGUCAAAAUUUAAUUUUUUACAUUUUCUCCCUGUCAUUUAAAAAUCUAUACUUUGCCCCCUUAAAAAUAAAAAAUAUUCACUUCACCCCCUACCGUUAGGGAUCCGGUAGGGUUCCGUUAUAAAAUAUUUUUUAGGCCAAAAAUAUCCUCUGUCCUUCCUACUGUGCUUUGCACUCCUCUGCCUCUCGACUCGCCCUUCUUCACUGUCUCACCCUCGCCCACAUUUCUGUCCGCACCCACAAACACCCUCUCACCCUCCUCCACUGCCUCGCCUUUGCCCUCGUUGUCUUUGCCUAUCUUUUCAUCCACGCUCAUCUUGAUUUCCUUCCUACCGUCGCCGAAAUGGAGGGGCGACGAAAGUACAGGAGAAAAAAGGCAGCAGGUGGAGAAGAAAAUGGAGAGGAAUCAUGGUUGAUCGAGGCGCGAACUGCGGCCGAUUGAGGCUGCAGAUGAGCAAGAUAAGGGAGGAGACGAAAAUGAUGAGAGGCAAAAUAAUUAUUUUGUCAUUAUAUUUCACACCGUAAUCUUCAUUUUGAAACUAUGUCCUUACGUCUGAUGUAAAAGUAAAGAGAGUGUAAAUUUAUUUAAAUAUCUAUGUGAAAAU